CCGGUAAACGGCGGCCGUAACUAUAACGGUCCUAAGGUAGCGAAAUUCCUUGUCGGGUAAGUUCCGACCUGCACGAAUGGCGUAAUGAUGGCCAGGCUGUCUCCACCCGAGACUCAGUGAAAUUGAACUCGCUGUGAAGAUGCAGUGUACCCGCGGCAAGACGGAAAGACCCCGUGAACCUUUACUAUAGCUUGACACUGAACAUUGAGCCUUGAUGUGUAGGAUAGGUGGGAGGCAACGAAGUGUGGACGCCAGUCUGCACGGAGCCAUCCUUGAAAUACCACCCUUUAACGUUUGAUGUUCUAACCCGGGUCCAUAAUCUGGAUCGGGGACCGUGUCUGGUGGGUAGUUUGACUGGGGCGGUCUCCUCCCAAAGAGUAACGGAGGAGCACGAAGGUUGGCUAAGCAUGGUCGGACAUCAUGCGGUUAGUGCAAAGGCAUAAGCCAGCUUGACUGCGAGAGUGACGGCUCGAGCAGGUACGAAAGUAGGUCUUAGUGAUCCGGUGGUUCUGAAUGGAAGGGCCAUCGCUCAACGGAUAAAAGGUACUCCGGGGAUAACAGGCUGAUACCGCCCAAGAGUUCAUAUCGACGGCGGUGUUUGGCACCUCGAUGUCGGCUCAUCACAUCCUGGGGCUGAAGUAGGUCCCAAGGGUAUGGCUGUUCGCCAUUUAAAGUGGUACGCGAGCUGGGUUUAGAACGUCGUGAGACAGUUCGGUCCCUAUCUGCCGUGGGCGCUGGAAGAUUGAGAGGGGUUGCUCCUAGUACGAGAGGACCGGAGUGAACGCACCACUGGUGUACGGGUUGUGAUGCCAAUUGCAUUGCCCGGUAGCUAAGUGCGGAAGAGAUAACCGCUGAAAGCAUCUAAGCGGGAAACUUGCCUCGAGAUGAGUCUUCCCUGAUUCUUUAAGAAUCCUGAAGGAACGUUUGAGACUAAGACGUUGAUAGGCUGGGUGUGUAAGCGCAGCGAUGCGUUGAGCUGACCAGUACUAAUGAACCGUGAGGCUUAACCUG
Molecule: ribosomal RNA, 1011 nt
Filed under: Morganella morganii
Lineage: Bacteria; Pseudomonadati; Pseudomonadota; Gammaproteobacteria; Enterobacterales; Morganellaceae
Description: partial 23S ribosomal RNA
Rfam family: Bacterial large subunit ribosomal RNA
Source: RNAcentral